This is a long non-coding RNA of Corvus hawaiiensis (hawaiian crow), 2086 nucleotides long. RefSeq lists it as uncharacterized. NCBI's taxonomy places the organism in Eukaryota, Metazoa, Chordata, Aves, Passeriformes, Corvidae. The transcript has 3 exons. The record is from RefSeq and is a predicted model, not a curated record.
UUCUCCAGGGCUUUCUGUAACACUCAUUACUCAAGAAGCUGGGUUUUUCAGAGUUAGCAACUGUGUUUUUGUAGCAACGUGGCUAGAUGAACCAGCUCUGGAAAUGUUGAACAGCUACAGAGGUUGAGAUGGAAAUGUCUGUGAUUCUGAGCGGCUGGUGAGAUGUGGAUAGUACCAAUCUCUCUUUGCAUCAUGGAGUUAACCAUUUUCUUCUGCUCUACUAAGACCCAGCAGGAGGACCAAUGAAAACAUGUAGAAAUCUGCCUCUCAGGGAGAAGAAUGUGAUGCCAGGACUUGUCCUAUUGAAGUUGGCAGGAGUGUGGCUUGAGUUUCGUGUGGUAGUGUGAGAAGAGACACAGCAGAUGGCAGUGCAUGACAUCAAUUAUCUCUGCUGCACUCCUGUUCCCAGCGGUAAUUGUCCAGAGCCGGUGAGAUUACACCGGAGGGCACCCCCCACUCCCUGGCUCCAUGUGGAGGAAAGGAAGACACCUCUGUGAACCAGUGCACUCUGAGGCAUCACUUUUGCUUCAUGGAUCAAGACUGCUGAAUCAGCAAACCCCCCCGCCCCCCACAUUUAAGCAGCUUUAUCACUGGCAGGAGACUCCAAAGGCCUCCUAUGUACAGACAGAUUGCAGCUUUCAGCAGAAGCCAGUCCCAGGGUGUUUUCUGUUUUCACCCAUCUUUCACAACGUGAUUCAUGUUCUUAACUGCUUUGCUGCUUCAAAAUCUAGUCAAUUUGCAUGUCAAAUUAAUUUUUCUUCAUUUAUCCUCAUAGUUCUGUUUUUGGGUGAAUGUUAGAGUGCUCGUUUUUGGUGCUUUCUGGUCUUUGAACUAUAUCUGGCACAGAAAUAAUGAUGGCAUUAAACAAAAAUUCCCUUACCAUGUUGUGAUGUGUUUCAUCAAUUUGAUCUGGUGCAAGGGACCAUCUGAAAUAGGAGAAAAGGGAAAAUGAAGGGGAAAGGGAGGAAACAGGAUUUUCUUGAAUGCUAACACAGGACUGCUUUGAUAACAAUGACUGAGAAAACAAGAAAGAAAGUCUGCAAAUUAGAGAGUUUUAAGUAAAAAACAUUGUUUUUAACCAAAAUAUUUAAUUAUGGAGCUUUUAGGGAGAGCCCAGUGGAGUGCCACUAAGAUGAUGGAGGAAUUGGAUCACCUCUCCUGUGAGAAGAGACUGAGAGAGCUGGGACUGUUCAGCCUGGAGGGGACUGAAAUAUCACCGAUGUAUACAAAUACCUAAAGGGAGGGUACCAAGAGGAUGGAGCCAGACUCUUUUCAGUGGUGCCCAGAGGCAAUGGGCCAGGCAAUGGGCACAAAUUGAAACAUGGGAAAUUCCCUCAGAACAUCAGGAAACAACUUUUCAGUGUGAGGGUGACUGAGCACUGGUACAAGUUGAGGAGUCUCCACCCCUGGAGAUCUUCAAAAGCUGUCUGGACACAGUCCUGGGUAACCAGCCCUAGGUGGCCCUGCUUGAGCAGGGUGGUUGGACCAGAUAACUUCCUGAGGUCCCUUCUAACUCAACCAUUUUGUGAUGCUGUGAACCCAAAGAGAUGCCAAUUCCUGAACUGUACUCUCCUGCACAAUUCUGGUAAUUUCCAAUGUCUCAUUGAAAACUGCUUGGAGCAUUAUUAGAUAAAAAGUAUACCUGAAGCUGCAAUUGGAAAACUAGUCUUAGACAAUGUCCAAACAUUGUCUCAAUAUUCAAAUUCCGAGGGAUUUCCUGAAUCUGCUAAUUUACUAUCCUAGUGCUACUUUCCAAAGCACCUCAGCAAAUAUGCCAUGUGCUAUUUUUUUCAGAAUGACAUAUUUGAAAUGGAUCAUGAAGUGACAGAAAUGCUGGGAUAGUACAAGAAGUUGUCUCUUCUGUUUAUUACCAAUUUUGCACAUGGGCAAGUAGCAGGUAACAUCAUCCUUGCAUCACCUGGAAUUCAAAUGAAGGAAUUAUCUUGUUAUCUUUGUUUUGAUUGAAUAUUCUCUCCCUUCAAAUAAAAGACAUUUUGUUGAUAUGGUAGUUCUAAUUACCAAAAAUAGAAAACUCUAAAAUAUGGAAACAAGUAUAAUUACCAAAUCUGUGAAAAAAAGAAUCUUU